CUCUCUGGUGUAGAACUUGACUGCGAAGCCACGAGGGUCUCUCAAGGUCUCGGGACUUCCACGCUCAUGGAUGACAGUGGAGAAACGCACAAUGACUGGAGUCUGAACACCUGGAGCUCUGAGGAAGUCAGCACAAGUGAGGUUAGAUAUAUCAUGAGUGACCUCGAAGAAACCCUUUGCACUGGCUCCUCUUGCGUGAACCACGCGCUCUGGAAUACGCUCCCUGUCGAAGUUAGCAAGCUUCUCAACGAGAUGGUAGUCCUCAAGAAGGAUAGGACCUGCCAAAACCCAUCACAAGUGUAACACUUAACAUUCACAUCCAUAGUACACAUACUCAUGAACGAAACGAUAUCGUUUUGAGAAGAAAGAUAUACCUCUGGGUCCAACGGUCAUGGAGGAGUUGUUGUUCCAUACAGGAGCACCAGAGUUGGUGGUGAAGAACGGAGAGUUGUAAGAACUCGCUGGACGAUACUGCAAUCAUAAAAAGAUCAAAUUCAUCAUCAAAGGGAUCAAGAUUCACAGAUUCGACUAGAAGAAAGUCAAGAUCCGACAUAAACACCAAUCAAACAGUUCCAAAAGCUACAAAUCCGGGUGCAAUAACAAAGCUAUGAAACCAGUUUCUAUAGAAGACGAAUAGGUGAGAGAUGAAGGAGAGUCGUACCUUGUAGGGAUCCAUGGUUGAUGAGAUGAGAGUUGAGAAAGAGAGAGAGAGAGAGACUUCCAGAGAUUUAACAAAACGAGGAGAUGGUGAUGAAGAUAAUUAUAAUAUUCGCUUCGCCUAUUUAUAAAUGGCUUCUGUCUUUAUGCCUUUGCGCUUUCGAGCCUUUUUUUAUAAUUUGGGGGGAAUUUUAAAGGUUAUCGUUUUUUCUUAUAUUUGUUUUUAUUUUCUUCAGAUAAAUGUUUGGAAACCAAGUAUUACAAAAGUCAUUUAUUGUGGCGAUAAAUUCAGGAAUAUAUAAUGUUUUUCUUAAACUAUCCACCACACAUAUAUAAGAAAAUGACUGAGGCAAUUGUUAUUCAAGUAUGGAUUAUUUUAUACCUUUUUUGUGCAACCAGAUAUAUUAAGAUGGGCUCUAAGAUUAUUUAUACCUUAUAUAUAUAUAUAUAUUAAUUAAUGGGAUACGUGACAAUAUUAGAUCCGAUAGAAAUGGUUACACUUUUGAUUAACAUCACAUUUUCAAGUUUAGCAUAAUCUCUUUUCUUUGAAGGUGGAAGAAUGCUCAAAUAAAGUCAACUCUUCAAAACAGGAGAAAACUUAUCUUAGAGUUUAAACUAUUAUAUACUAUAUAAAUCGAAGAUGUAAACAUGGCUGUGUUUUAUUUUGUUGCUUCAAAAAAAAAAGAACAGUGAGUACCUCUCUGGUGUAAAGGAACGGUAUCUCUCUCCAGGCUCCUUGAAGUUGUUCUCUUUCUCAAUAAUACACUGCAAAACAUAUUUUUAACUUUUAGAUCAUAUGUUUCUUACAAGGAAACUGAAAGAGAGAGCUCAUUUGAUUACUGACCCUCUCACGCUUUCCAGAGCAGACAGCAGGUGGAGUUGGAUACUUCUCUGCAUGGCGAACCGGGUCAUACCUCGAAGGGAAGUAGUUAACCUGCACCAAACCACCUCUUGUAAGAAAACGAUAUUCUAGCUUGAACGUUCAUUUCAAAAAAAAACAUUACCUCCUCGUCCCUGUGCAUGAAAUUCAUGAAGCCUUCAUGGUGGUUGUUGUGGUGAGCACACUUUGGAGCAUUAACUGGUAGCUGGAGGUAGUUAGGUCCAAGACGGUGUCUCUGGGUGUCAGCAUAGGAGAAGACACGUGUCUGAAGCAGCUUAUCGUCAGAGUAGUGUAUCCCCGGAACAAUGAUAGCAGGACAGAAGGCAAGCUGCUCAUUCUCCGCAAAGAAGUUAUCAAUGUUCUUGUUCAACACCAUACGCCCAACGGGCUGGAGAGGCAAGAUAUCUUCAGGCCAGGUCUUGGUGACAUCGAGAGGGUCAAAGUCGAACUUGUCUUCAUCAGCUGGAUCGAUUAUCUGAACAAAGAGCUUCCACUCAGGGUAGUUACCAGCAGCAAUGGAGUCGUAUAAGUCCUGAGUUGCGUGGCUGUGGUUGGUUCCACCAACGCGGAUUGCAUCUUCUUCUAGUAGAGACUUCACUCCACAAGUUGGUUUCCAGUGGAACUUCACGUAGUGAGCUUUGCCGGAUUUGUUGAUCAACAUGUAUGUGUUGACACCUGAGCCUUCCAUGUGUCUGUAGUCUUGUGGGAUACCGAUGUCGUCGAAGAGGAAAGUGAACAUGUUGAGGCUUUCAGGGUGGUGGGAGAAGAAGUCAAGGACUCUCCAGUUCUCUUGGAUGUGAGAUUUGGGGUUUGGUUUGAGAGCGUGGACCAUGUCAGGGAACUUCAUCCCGUCGCGGAUGAAGAAGACAGGGAAGUUGUUUCCGACAAGAUCAAAGUUUCCCUGCUCAAAAAGAAUAUGAUCAUUUGCUUUAGCAUAUAUGAACAUGGCUGGUUCUGAGCAUAGGCUAAUUAAUGCUAAACAUUGGUUUAUGUCCUAAAAAACUUAAAAACAUUUACAUAUUUAUUUACAAGUCUCCAAAUUUGUUAAAAAAAAUUUAUAAUUUUUUAUUAAACGAACUAUAGCCGUAUAUAAAUAUUUAUUAAAUUAUCUAUAGCCCCCAUAAUUUUGAGUAGUGACUUGCCUCUCUGGUGUAGAACUUGACUGCGAAGCCACGAGGGUCUCUCAAGGUCUCGGGACUUCCACGCUCAUGGAUGACAGUGGAGAAACGCACAAUGACUGGAGUCUGAACACCUGGAGCUCUGAGGAAGUCAGCACAAGUGAGGUUAGAUAUAUCAUGAGUGACCUCGAAGAAACCCUUUGCACUGGCUCCUCUUGCGUGAACCACGCGCUCUGGAAUACGCUCCCUGUCGAAGUUAGCAAGCUUCUCAACGAGAUGGUAGUCCUCAAGAAGGA
RNAcentral lists this long non-coding RNA (2951 nucleotides) under Brassica napus (rape). RNAcentral describes it as "long non-coding RNA (BNAP_LNC015461)". The record is from RNAcentral. Lineage: Eukaryota; Viridiplantae; Streptophyta; Magnoliopsida; Brassicales; Brassicaceae.